AGAGUUUGAUCAUGGCUCAGAAUCAACGCUGGCGGCGUGCCUAACACAUGCAAGUCGCACGAGAAAGUGGAGCAAUCCAUGAGUAAAGUGGCGCACGGGUGAGUAACACGUGAAUGAUCUACCUCCGAGUGGGGAAUAACCUAGAGAAAUCUGGGCUAAUACCGCAUAACACUUACGAGUCAAAGCAGCAAUGCGCUUGGAGAGGAGUUCGCGGCCGAUUAGUUAGUUGGCGGGGUAAUGGCCCACCAAGACGAUGAUCGGUAUCCGGCCUGAGAGGGCGCACGGACACACUGGAACUGAAACACGGUCCAGACUCCUACGGGAGGCAGCAGUGGGGAAUUUUGCGCAAUGGGGGAAACCCUGACGCAGCAACGCCGCGUGGAGGAUGAAAUCCCUUGGGAUGUAAACUCCUUUCGAUCGGGACGAUUAUGACGGUACCGGAAGAAGAAGCCCCGGCUAACUUCGUGCCAGCAGCCGCGGUAAUACGAGGGGGGCAAGCGUUGUUCGGAAUUAUUGGGCGUAAAGGGCGCGUAGGCGGUUUGACAAGUCUGAUGUGAAAUCUCUGGGCUCAACCCAGAGUCUGCAUUAGAAACUGUCGGGCUUGAGUAUGGGAGAGGUGAGUGGAAUUUCCGGUGUAGCGGUGAAAUGCGUAGAUAUCGGAAGGAACACCUGUGGCGAAAGCGGCUCACUGGACCAUAACUGACGCUGAGGCGCGAAAGCUAGGGGAGCAAACAGGAUUAGAUACCCUAGUAGUCC
This 756-nucleotide ribosomal RNA is filed under the name uncultured bacterium. RNAcentral describes it as "bacterial SSU rRNA". It matches the Rfam family "Bacterial small subunit ribosomal RNA", at positions 8 to 796 of the family's 1533-position model. The record is from RNAcentral.